Heterocephalus glaber (naked mole-rat) is the source of this 107-nucleotide small nuclear RNA. NCBI's taxonomy places the organism in Eukaryota, Metazoa, Chordata, Mammalia, Rodentia, Bathyergidae. The record is from Ensembl.
AUGCUUGAUUGGGCAGCACAUGUACUAAAAUUGGAAUGAUGUGGAGAAGUAUAUCAUGGUCCUUGUAUAAGAAUAACAUACAGAUUCACGAUGUUUUUCAUAUUAAA